ACCCCCCUUAUUUUUAAGCUGCUUUAAGAACAAUGAAUUUAUUUGAAAGAAAAAAAGUAAAAAUGCAUUUAAACAUUUUUUUAAGAGAGUGUUUUUUUUUUUAAAGUAUAACUAUUUGGAUGAAUUGCAAAAAAGCACCCUUAUUGAACUCGGAGUGCGAGUUGAGCCCAUCCUCACAACAUCAAACAAAAAGUAGAAGAAGAAACUCAACGAAUAGCUGGUGGAUUGUAGAACUUUCUGUAAAUGCAGCAGGUGUCAUUUUGUUUUAUCAACGGAUGGAGAUGGAUUACGAACUUGCAAGUCCUGGUGUGCUCUGUUCACUUUCAACCGAGGAACUCUUAACAAAAAUACAAGAGUGGGGCUUAGAUGUCACCGAAGCUGAAGCUCAGCGUUUCAGAGGAUCCUUCAAAAAGCAGGUUAAAUUCAACCAAUUUGUGUCAAGGAUGAAGGAAUCUUCAGUGACGCUGACUCUACAGACUGUCUCUCCAGAAGACUGGCAACCAUCUACUUCGUCAACUUCAAUAAGCAAUGAAAAUACUUUGAGACUGCCAGCCUCUUUUGAAAUUCCAAGAUUUCCCAAAAAUCUGCAACUAAAACUGGACAACAAAGAACCGUGCCAUAAAAAUCCAAGGGACAGACACACAAUAAUCAGAGUUCUAUAUGAAGCUGUGGCACAGUAUACUAUGUAUCCCACAAAUUCUGAAUAUGUGCAAGCUGUGAAGAUGCUGGUAAUGAAGUAUCCUUUCCUCAAGCAUCGUGAGGGAAAUGGUUAUGGACCAUGCGUCCAAGGAGAGGAUUUAUUAUCCAUAGACGCCCACUUAAAGGUCUUACAGUGCCAAUGUCAGAAGAUGCAACCAGAUACCAUGGUGGUUCAUAACCGUAUGCAGCAAACGUUUGCUUGGCGGCAAAAAGAAAUUGCAGAUGGUAUGCCUGUGGAGGAUGUGUACCCCUUCUUAGGGAUGCCUACUGGUCUGUGCAACGAACUCGGGUGGAUCCAACCAACAACGGGUAAUGUAAGCCAGCGAUUUCGUGAAGGGCUCUCAUGUGUUGCAGCAAAGGUGAUUGACCUUACACGAGGGAAAACCCCACUCUACCAGCUCUACCUUGAUGCAAGAGAGGAGGCUCUCACUGAUGACCUACCAGAUCUUGACACAAGGGCUGCACUUUUAUUCCUGCCAUACGUCUUCAAGGAGAAACUGGAUCUCUUUGUCAUACUUGGAGAGGUUCAUCCUAAAACCCCCUAUCCAACUGUUCAGCUACUUCAUGAAGACUGGAAACCAGUGUUCUCCAGAAGCGCUCCAAACAUUGUGAAGUUGGAUGGCAGUGAAGUGUGCAGAACCUCGUGUAUUUUUGAAGGAAUCAUCUCUUCUUUCUGCUUGUAUUUUGUCUUCAACCUUGCUUACCCAAAACAUCUGAAGAACACCCUGAUUUUUCUCCAAAAGUACAUUGUGAAAAUAGAUGAGGAUCAGAGAUGGAGAAGGCCUUACCAGUGCAGCUGCUGGAAAUGUUGAACAAUUUGGGAGAGGAGGAGCUGAAGCUUUUCCACUUUUACCUGAAGUAUGAACCUGGAGGAAGUCCCUCAGCCCAGGCAGCUUCAU
Oreochromis aureus is the source of this 1598-nucleotide long non-coding RNA. The record is from Ensembl. NCBI's taxonomy places the organism in Eukaryota, Metazoa, Chordata, Actinopteri, Cichliformes, Cichlidae.